GGUAUCAGCCAUUCCUCCAGCCUGCAGGAGACAUGGGACUCACUGAUUAACCUUUAUUCCUUUUUUUGGAGGCGUCAUGAAGAAAACCAGCAAUACGAGCCUUCUCCUGAAUGAGCCACCAAGGAUGGACAGGAAGGAGAUCAGCAGAAGAAUAUUAGACCUCACCUUGGAGAUCAUCUCCCUGCUGAGCGGAGAGGAGUACACAAUAGUGAAGAAGACAUCGGGGGACUGUGUGACUCCCAUCAUC
This is a long non-coding RNA of Bufo bufo (common toad), 247 nucleotides long. RefSeq lists it as uncharacterized. The record is from RefSeq and is a predicted model, not a curated record. NCBI's taxonomy places the organism in Eukaryota, Metazoa, Chordata, Amphibia, Anura, Bufonidae. The transcript has 3 exons.